UACGUAGGUGGCGAGCGUUGUCCGGAUUUACUGGGCGUAAAGGGCGUGCAGGCGGUUUGUUAAGUGCAGGGUGAAAGCUCCCGGCUCAACUGGGAGAGGUCCUUGCAUACUGGCGAACUCGAGGGAGGCAGAGGAAAGUGGAAUUCCCGGUGUAGUGGUGAUAUGCGUAGAUAUCGGGAGGAACACCUGUGGCGAAGGCGGCUUUCUGGGCCUUACCUGGCGCUGAGACGCGAAAGCGUGGGGAGCGAACCGG
This 253-nucleotide ribosomal RNA is filed under the name uncultured bacterium. RNAcentral describes it as "partial 16S ribosomal RNA". It matches the Rfam family "Bacterial small subunit ribosomal RNA", at positions 524 to 776 of the family's 1533-position model. The record is from RNAcentral.